RNAcentral lists this ribosomal RNA (279 nucleotides) under uncultured bacterium. Its description in RNAcentral is "partial 16S ribosomal RNA". It matches the Rfam family "Bacterial small subunit ribosomal RNA", at positions 506 to 784 of the family's 1533-position model. The record is from RNAcentral.
UGCCAGCAGCCGCGGUAACACGGGGGGCGCAAGCGUUAUUCGGAAUUAUUGGGCGUAAAGGGCGCGCAGGCGGUUUGAUAAGUUGGGAGUGAAAUCCCGGGGCUUAACCUCGGAAUUGCUCUCAAAACUGUUGAACUAGAGUAUGGUAGGGGAAAGUGGAAUUCUUAGUGUAGGGGUGAAAUCCGUAGAUAUUAAGAGGAACACCAGAGGCGAAGGCGACUUUCUGGACCAUUACUGACGCUAAGGUACGAAAGCGUGGGGAGCGAACGGGAUUAGAUA